Molecule: long non-coding RNA, 279 nt
Organism: Oncorhynchus tshawytscha (Chinook salmon)
Lineage: Eukaryota; Metazoa; Chordata; Actinopteri; Salmoniformes; Salmonidae
Source: Ensembl
UGUUAGGUGGUAGUAACUAUCUAACUGUCUGUUAGGUGGCAGUAACUGUCUGUUAGGUGGCAGUAACUGUCUGUUAGGUGGCAGUAACUGUCUGUUAGGUGGUAGUAACUGUCUGUUAGGUGGUAGUAACUAUCUGCUAGGUGGUAGUAACUGUCUGUUAGGUGGUAGUAACUGUCUGCUAGCUGGUAGUAACUGUCUGCUAGGUGGUAGUAACUGUCUGUUAGGUGGUAGUAACUGUCUGCUAGGUGGUAGUAACUGUCUGCUAGGUGGUAGUAACUG